Molecule: ribosomal RNA, 254 nt
Filed under: uncultured bacterium
Lineage: Bacteria
Description: partial 16S ribosomal RNA
Rfam family: Bacterial small subunit ribosomal RNA
Source: RNAcentral
GACGAACCGUGCGAACGUUAUUCGGAAUCACUGGGCUUAAAGCGCGUGUAGGCGGCCCAGCACGUCAGUCGCUGAAAUCCCCCGGCUCAACCGGGGAAGUGGCGUUGAUACGACCGGGCUGGAGGGGGGUAGGGGGGACGGGAACUCACGGUGGAGCGGUGAAAUGCGUUGAGAUCGUGAGGAACGCCCGCGGCGAAAGCGCGUCCCUGGACCCCACCUGACGCUGAGACGCGAAAGCCAGGGGAGCGAACGGG